AUACGGAGGGUGCAAGCGUUGUCCGGAUUUAUUGGGUUUAAAGGGUGCGUAGGUGGUUUUUUAAGUCAGUGGUGAAAGCCUACAGCUUAACUGUAGAGGUGCCAUUGAAACUGGGGAACUUGAGUAUGGACGAGGUAGGCGGAAUUUGUGGUGUAGCGGUGAAAUGCAUAGAUACCACAAAGAACACCGAUAGCGAAGGUAGCUUACUAGGCCAUAACUGACACUGAGGCACGAAAGUGUGGGGAGCGAACAGGAUUAGAAACCCCGGUAGUCC
RNAcentral lists this ribosomal RNA (274 nucleotides) under uncultured bacterium. RNAcentral describes it as "partial 16S ribosomal RNA". It matches the Rfam family "Bacterial small subunit ribosomal RNA", at positions 523 to 796 of the family's 1533-position model. The record is from RNAcentral.